GUCAAUUUGAAUCUCCUAGAAAUGAUCAACCAACUCAACAAAUUAUCCACUUCACUGAAGCCUAUUGUUGACUCGCUAUGUGGAUUGGGAAGAUUGCAAAAUGCUCUGAAACUCAUUCUCUCUAAUCCAACUCAAUUAGAGUAUCCUUUGUACUCAAUAAUUCUGCAACUAUCAGCAAGAGAAAAGCCAAUGAAGAAGGCCGUUUGGUUCACGGGCAUCUCAUAACAAACGGACUGCAUUCAAACUCGUAUUUGAACACGCAGCUAAUCAUUUUGUACUUGAAGCUCGGCGACAUGGGCAGCUCCCGCAUGGUGUUUGAUAGAAUGCCUGAUAGGAGUGUGGUUGCUUGGACAGCUUUGGUCUCUGGAUGUACUCAAAAUAGAUACUCGGAGGAAGCUCUUGCAGUGUUCUCAGCGAUGCAUAGGGCAGGUGUUAUGGCUAAUCAAUUUACUUAUGGGAGCGCUUUAAGGGGCUGUUCUAGUAUGGGGUGCUUGAACAGAGGAGUGCAAACUCAGGGAUGUGUUCAAAAAGUAUGCUUGUUCACGAUUUGUUUGUGCAGAGUGCAUUGAUAGAUUUGCAUUCGAAGUGUGGGAAGAUGGAGGAUGCUUGCUACAUCUUUGAUUCAAUGUCAGAGAGGGAUCUUGUUUCUUGGAAUGCAAUGAUUGUGUUAUCAAAGCCGCUGAGGGAGAAAGUGGAUUGGUGAAAGUCAUCCAAAUACAUGGAUUCAUUGUGCAACUGGGUUUUGGUUCACACAACGUUUAGACUGGAUCACUGAUUGAUGCUUAUGCAAAAUGUGGGAGUGUUAGGAUUGCAAUCAUGUUUACAAGAGUAUGCUUAAAAAAGAUAACAGUAUCUUGUACCGCAUCACGGAUAUGCUCGUGAAGGUAUCUAUAGUAGAGAUAUCUUUGAUCUCUUCAACGAAAUACAUCAGAUGUGUAUGGGAGUUGACAAUAUUAUGCUUUGCUCUGUACUUAAUAUAUGUGCCAAUGUGACAUCACGGGACUUGGGAAGACAAAUUCAUUCCUUGGAAUUGAAGUGUCAGUCCAUUCAUGAUUUGGCCACGGAUAAUGCUCUAAUUGAUAUGUACUCAAAAUCUGGAGAAAGUGGAGAUGCUGAAUGUGUUUUCUGUGAGAUGGAGCAGAAAAAUGUUGUCUCAUGGACAUCGCAGAUUGGUGGAUAUGGGAAGCAGGGUUAUGGGCUCAAGGCAAUUGCCCUAUUCAAGAAGAUGGAAUAUGAAAAAGUGAAGCCAAACGACGUGACAUUCCUGACUCUUCUCUUUGCGUGCAGUCAUGCUGGUUUGACUAAUGAAGGAUGGGAAUGCUUCAAUGACAUGGUUAGCAAAUACAACAUCUUGCCAAGAGCUGAGCACUAUUAUUGUGUGGUUGACCACCUUGCACGUGGAGGGCAGUUAGAAGAAGCUUAUAAUCUAACAAGACAGAUGAAUAUUAAGCCUAAUGCCUCACUUUUGGGGCGGGGCGGGGGGCAUCCUUGGAGCAUGUAGGUCUACGGUGUUGGAAUUUUAGAGACAUUGGUAGUUAUGAAGUUAACGAACAAAAGUUGAAAAAAACUUGAAUGUGAAAGGCUGUAACUUCAUUAUUUUUAUUCAUAUCAUCAUGCCUUUAAAUAGAUAAUACAUAUUAACUGAAUAACAAGAAAAUAGAAUUUAUUACUGGACUUAUAUUUAAAAAAAUGAAAUUAUCUUAAUCCACUAAAUCAAUAAACAGAAUUUUGACCCAAUUAAUUCACUAAAUCAACAAGCAGAAUUUUGACCCAAUCAACCCACUAAAUUAGUAACUUUGAAUCAAUAUUCAACAUACGGUGACAUAUCUCUUGGAGAAGUAGCAGGUAGGCAUCUGUUUAAUAUAGAACCAAAGAAGCCCGUCAACUAUGUCGUUUUAGCAAGCAUAUAUGCUUCAGCUGGCUUUUGGGACAGUGUUUGGAGCAUAAGGAAAUUAAUAAAGAAGAGAAGGCUUAAAAAGGAUCCUGGAUACAGCCUUUCUUGGUCUGCAUAUACAAGACUGGCUCGUUUGCAGUCAAGUUGAAAUACUAAGACUACUAGGAGAAACUUGGUUUUCCAGAUAUAGAGUUCUUUGGAUGCUCUUUGUCUUGUGUCAAUGCUACCAAAUUGACAAGGUUAAGCGGAACAUGCCUUUUAUAUUGCCAUUUGCCAUAAUGCAAUUAUCUGCCAUUGUGAUCCUUGAUCACUAAUUGAAGAGCUAGAAUUCAUGUAGCCAACCCCACGUAGUGGGAUUAAUGCUUGAUUUUUUGUUGUUAUGGUCCUUGAUCCCUUGUUUUUGCUGUCCUCUAUGAUUUGGCUCUUUUUUGGCAAACCCACGAGUCUUCUGGCUGGAAAUGCAGGCAUUGGCAAUUAUUUAAUGCCACUCAAUGAACGUUUGUGAUUAGUUGACAGAGAACUACAAAAUUGUAAAAGGUGUCUAGUUAUUGACAGAAUCCAAAAAGGAGAAUGUGCAUACACAGUUCCUGUUCCAAGCACUUUGGAUACCAGUUUCUUGAUGAAGAUUUCUUUCUUUAUACGAUAUUUGGUUCAUUUUCUUCAACAAAGUGCUGCAAGGAGGCACACAUAACAUUCCAACUGGAUUCGAUUUCUACCAAUUGGCUGUGGCAUUGCUUCUUUUGCAUCCUUAGCAACCCAACAUCUAUGCUUUGCUGGCCCAGUAGCCUCCGUUGCUUUGUGUUGAAAAGUGCUAUAUGUGCUGCUAAAGAUCAGAAGUUGAAGAAGUCAAACAGUUGAAAUUGUUGAGGAUUUGGUGGAAUAACAGAAGCUAAAAAAUUGCUGAGUUUUUGAAUUUGAUUAUGAAUUUCAAUUGCUUGUUUAUUUUAGGGAUUUCUUAUUGAGUUUGUUACAUUUUUUUCUGUAUAAAUACAUUCAUAAGUUAAUGAAUGAACUAUCAGUUUUUGCAGUCCAUUACCUCUGUUACUUAUUUUCUGUAGUAUUUCCAACAAAUUGGUAUCAGAGCCUUAUUGAUCUUAAGGGUUUGUGUUUGAGAGUGAGUGAAUCCAGUGAGGAACCUUCUUUUUUACAAAAAACCAAACACCCAGCCUUCAAGCCAGAUUACAGCUAUGGCAGGAAACAAUUUCAUGUCAGCACCACCAAUGUUUACAGGUGAAAAUUAUCAGAUUUGGGCAGUGAAGAUGGAGUCAUACUUGCAGGCAAGUGAUUUAUGGGAUGUGGUAACAACUGAAAUACCAACAUUACCUGAGGAUCCAACCAUUGCCCAAAUCACAGAAAAUAGGACAGCAACAAGAAAAGGGUAUAAGGCCAAGACCUGUAUUCACUCAGCCGUAUCAGAAAUGAUUUUUACAAAGAUCAUGACUUGUGAAACAGCAAAACAAGCAUGGGAUCUUCUCAAGGAGGAGUACCAAGGUAAUCAGAGGACAAAGCGGAUGCAAAUUCUGAAUCUCAUGAGAGAAUUUGAGAUGAAAAAAAUGAAGGAAGCUGAGAGCUUCAAGGAAUAUGUUGA
Molecule: long non-coding RNA, 3482 nt
Organism: Diospyros lotus (date-plum)
Lineage: Eukaryota; Viridiplantae; Streptophyta; Magnoliopsida; Ericales; Ebenaceae
Exons: 3
Source: RefSeq, a predicted model, not a curated record